CCUACGGGGGGCAGCAGUGGGGAAUCUUGCACAAUGGAGGAAACUCUGAUGCAGCGACGCCGCGUGAACGAUGAAGGUUUUCGGAUCGUAAAGUUCUGUCCUAAGGGAAGAUAAUGACGGUACCUUAGGAGGAAGCACCGGCUAACUACGUGCCAGCAGCCGCGGUAAUACGUAGGGUGCAAGCGUUGUCCGGAAUUACUGGGCGUAAAGGGUUUGUAGGCGGUUUUUUAAGUCAGAUGUUAAAGCUCACGGCUCAACCGUGGGAUGCAUUUGAAACUGAGAGACUUGAGUCAAGGAGAGGAAAGUGGAAUUCCUAGUGUAGCGGUGAAAUGCGUAGAUAUUAGGAGGAAUACCAGUGGCGAAGGCGACUUUCUGGACUUGUACUGACGCUGAGAAACGAAAGCGUGGGUAGCAAACAGGAUUAGAUACCCCAGUAGUC
RNAcentral lists this ribosomal RNA (439 nucleotides) under uncultured Eubacteriales bacterium. RNAcentral's name for it is "bacterial SSU rRNA". It matches the Rfam family "Bacterial small subunit ribosomal RNA", at positions 338 to 795 of the family's 1533-position model. The record is from RNAcentral. Lineage: Bacteria; Bacillati; Bacillota; Clostridia; Eubacteriales.